This is a long non-coding RNA of Acanthopagrus latus (yellowfin seabream), 1263 nucleotides long. RefSeq lists it as uncharacterized. The transcript is spliced from 3 exons. Lineage: Eukaryota; Metazoa; Chordata; Actinopteri; Spariformes; Sparidae. The record is from RefSeq and is a predicted model, not a curated record.
ACCGACCUCUCUGAGAUAAUUGUUGCUGUGCUGAGGCUGUGACCCAGUUCUCUCACUCAGAGCUUCUUUCUCCUCACCAACUAAAUAAACACAAGUUUCUCCAGCGAGCCGUCUCGGCUCGGCUCUGGCUACCAGCCGAGCGCACAACCCAGCGAUUCUGCAGCAGCCGGCACAAAGAAACAGCUAUCAAACGAGUCGUAUGUGAACAGAAAUAAGGCGACUGCAGCUCCAUUCUGCUCCUGUGAAUGGGAGGAAAGCGUAUUGUUCAGCUGGAGAUAAUGUGCUGACAUAAUAAUGAUUCACUGUGUUUCUGUGUGUCAGAAACAUGCAGUGUAGCAGGGAGGAGGCAGCCGUGCUGAACCAUAUCUCAUGUUUGUGCACUCUUUGUGUCUUUGAAGGAGUUGUGCAGGAGUCUCACAUCGAGCAGCGUGUGAUUACAUUCAUACAAGCUGCAAAGCAAUAAUUAUCAGCUCGUUAGCCGGCCUGACAAGCUCCACAAGCUAACAUUUAACAAUUAGCUUUGGAUAUCUCUGUAUUAUUACCAACAUGACGGGAAAUAUUCUGCUCACAGGCACUUCAGCAACAAACAGGAGGAGGCGGGUUGGUUUGAACUGGUUGUAACCCUUCAAAUUAACAGGAAGAAUUAAUUAAUGUAGAUAUCAGUGCAUGAGGACGACCACGUGUCUGGUAAACUGCAGUUUGGAGUCUGGAGUUAGUGGAACAUUUAAGCUGCUGCAUGGAAUAUUUUUACAGUUUGGCGUUCAGUUAGUGAACUCAUCCACCCAGAGAUCAUCUACCGAGUGGACACAGCAGGAGACCAACACUGAGCUGCCUGUCUUCUAAAAUCAGAUGCCAGCUAACACUGGAGGACCUGAACCACCAGCAGACUGAAAGAAGCUACCAGACCACCAUCACACAUCCCCACGUUACUAUGUUAUCUUAUGACGCAUCAUGUUAGAGCUACGUUAUGUUACGGUGGAGGAUCAGCUUCACAGGCUGUUAUGAGCUCUGAUCCGGAGCAGCGGGAGGAAGAACUCCCCAAAAACAUCAGACGGCGUGCUGUUCCUGCCGCGUCCAGCAGAGAAGCAUCAAACGCUCGCAUCGUAUAGCUGCUGCACCAAACACACGGGGCUGAUGGAUGGAGGAAAAGCUGAAAUGGACUGGCUGCUAAAUCCCAAAAUCACCUUCAGCUGAAGGGAGAGGCCGUGCAGGUUAAAUCAAAGCAGGACUCGUGUAGCAGAGCUCAUUUACCUCCUGCAGGCC